CAGGCCUACGACUGCCGCACCUACGACUGCCAGGCCUGCAACUGCUGCACCUGCAACUGUAGCAGUCACAAAAAUCAGGACAACUUUCAGAUCUCUUCUAGACACAUUUACAAAUGACUUGAAUGAUCCAUCAUCUGCAUCUUUUAGAAUUCGAUCUGCAAUGAUAAAAGCACAGCUUCAACCUAUCUUCCAAGAGGCAUUCCCAUCCUCCUUCCAGUCCUUGGAUGUAGUUUCAUUCAGAAAUGGAUCAAUCAUAACUGAAAUGGACCUUAACUUUGCAAGGACAUCUGUUCCUACCAACACUCAGAUUCGUAAUGUUUUGAUCAAUGCAUCUUCAAUCGUCACCGGCUUCGACAUUGAAGGCAGCUCCAUC
Molecule: long non-coding RNA, 373 nt
Organism: Morone saxatilis (striped sea-bass)
Lineage: Eukaryota; Metazoa; Chordata; Actinopteri; Moronidae
Exons: 3
Source: RefSeq, a predicted model, not a curated record